CAAGGUUGUGGAUGAACAGAGCUCAUUUUGACAUGUUCCUGAAAGUCCAGGGGCUGCCUCAACCUUUUUCUGCCUGAAAGUGCUUUGGAGUGUCAGAUGAUGACAUCUUUUCAAUUCGAUAAGCAUUUACCAUGUGGCAGGCACUGUGCUACUCCAUGGUCAUACAAAGACAGAAAUGAGGAAAAAGAAAACUGUCCCUGCCCUCAGGGAGCUUACACAAUAUCAGGGCAAACAAACAAGGAAAUGGAAAAUAGAGAGCCACGGAAGAUCCACAGUCAGACCAGUGCCUUAGGAAGAUAUUUUGACAGCCAUGUGGAAGAUGUAUUGGACACAGGAGAAACUAGAAGCAGUGAGAUCUAUGAGGAAGCUAUUGUUCCAGAUUCGCUCCACACGCUUGCAUAAGAUGACUUCUCCUGGCAGCUGUUUGGAUGGGAAGAGAGACAGAAAGCUCCCUUGCAGAGAGGCUGUCCCUGUCCUCUUUUGGCCCUUAGCAAGUGGCUGGCUGAUUGGAGGCAAGAUCAUCUGGCUCUAAUUCCACCCUCCCUCCCAACUCCUGGGCAAAUAGUCAUUUCAUCACCUCCCCAUCUACU
This is a long non-coding RNA of Vombatus ursinus (common wombat), 590 nucleotides long. RefSeq lists it as uncharacterized. The record is from RefSeq and is a predicted model, not a curated record. Lineage: Eukaryota; Metazoa; Chordata; Mammalia; Diprotodontia; Vombatidae. The transcript has 3 exons.